GACAAUGAUGAUUCUUUUU
Molecule: small RNA, 19 nt
Filed under: Arabidopsis thaliana (thale cress)
Lineage: Eukaryota; Viridiplantae; Streptophyta; Magnoliopsida; Brassicales; Brassicaceae
Description: ATSL110640
Source: RNAcentral